UUGCGGCUGUCAAACUUAGUUGACACACCAUUCAAAACAAAUGUCACGUGAGUGAACGAAACAAAGAAGUAGCUGAUGCUCGUAUUAUCCUCAUGAUUUUUUUGUGGUAUGGAACACGUUAAUAGAUUCAGUGUUAAAUAACAGUGGUUUAUUGACGUCCUACUAAGGUUCACGGGGAUCCAUUGGAUGCAGGCAGCGCAUAAUCGGUAGUUGUGGCGUGGCUUGGGAGCAGUGGACGUGGGUUGAAAGAUAGAUAGAUUACCUGUUUAGCAUUUAUGAAACUGCAGAAAUGUGCGACCGUGAAAUAAAACCGCUGAACGUAAUAUAUCGGGUUCUUUUAAAAUGUUCAGUGAAAAGUGAAAGCCAUUAUUUUUCUGAGACUUUAUUGAAAUAAAGUCCCAUCUCAUCUCGCUUAAUUUUAUUUCGUCCCAAUUGAUUUAAGUCUCAAAUUAAUCAACUUCAUCUCAUUUUUCAUAUUAAAAUUGAAUGAAAAUUUUAA
Molecule: long non-coding RNA, 499 nt
Organism: Bombyx mori (domestic silkworm)
Lineage: Eukaryota; Metazoa; Arthropoda; Insecta; Lepidoptera; Bombycidae
Exons: 2
Source: RefSeq, a predicted model, not a curated record